AGCUGGUAAUGAGAAGUAUUAUAUUGCUUGUGCACAUCCAUACGUGCAAAACUUUCAGAAAAUAUUGUGAAACGUACAAAAUCGCAUUCAAAUACAGUUGUACAACUGUGUGAAGUCAGUGUUAAUUUAUUUAAUGUAGAAUAACAUUGACUAUAUAUUAAUUGGAGAUAUUAGGUGUGAUAUACAUGUAACAUGCACUAGAUAUCCAAGUUAGCUGACCUCUUUUAUUUUUCAAAGGGUCAUAAAGGUGGUCAAGAAAUAAAUUGCCAUCAGACAGCAGCAUUCCUUGAUUUAGAUGCAUUUCUCUUCAUGCCCUCUCCUGAAAGAUUGUCCAUGAUGCCUCAGGGUUAGGAUUGGGAUGCAAGAUGUACAGUACAUAUAUAUGAUGUCUAUGGGUACAUUGCUGUAAUGGCCUGAAAAAUCUUUUGCGAAACCGAGAAAUGUUCAUCUUCCAUUGCCUUGAUUGUGUAAAAGGACGAGCAGAGGAAUGAUUCAAAAAUAUAUGGCAGGAUUGAGAAUCUAACCCAUGACCCGUAGUCUGGUACUCUACCCACUGAUCAAUCCAUGCUGAUGGUCCAUCUGCUACAUUGAUGUCAUCUUAUAUAUUUAUUUAUUCAUUUAUAUCAUAUGGACAUUUAAAAGUUGACAGUAAAAUAAAAAAAAGUUUGAUAUUCAGCAAAAUAAAAUUUGUUACAAUACAUGUUUAAGAAAUUAAGUACAUGUACAUGCAUUGUUAUGCAUACAAUUAUGUACAUGUAAUUAUAUUUGUUAAUAGAUAACUUUUUAGAUGAAUUUUCAUGUUGUUAUUGAUAUUGACAUGUACAUGUAUUACUUCCAUUUCUAGAAUGAUUUUAACAUCUUGAUAUUAAAAAGAUGACAUAAUAAAUAAAUCUUAAAUAUU
Molecule: long non-coding RNA, 901 nt
Organism: Ostrea edulis (European flat oyster)
Lineage: Eukaryota; Metazoa; Mollusca; Bivalvia; Ostreida; Ostreidae
Exons: 2
Source: RefSeq, a predicted model, not a curated record